Molecule: ribosomal RNA, 419 nt
Filed under: uncultured fungus
Lineage: Eukaryota; Fungi
Description: eukaryotic LSU rRNA
Rfam family: 5.8S ribosomal RNA (bases 1-125)
Source: RNAcentral
GCAUCGAUGAAGAACGCAGCGAAACGCGAUAGGUAAUGUGAAUUGCAGAAUUCCGUGAAUCAUCGAAUCUUUGAACGCACCUUGCGCUCCAUGGCAUUCCGUGGAGCAUGCCUGUUUGAGUGCCGCGAAAUCUCCCACCCCUAGCGGUUGCCGCAAGGCGCCGCCGGGCGGCGGGGUUGGUUGGGUGCCGCUGCCUGGGCUUUGGCCCAGGCUCGCCCGAAAUGCAUGAGCGCUUAGCACUCGCACCGUCUCGAGGGAAGGCGGCGGAGCUGGCAUCUGCGCAUGGCAUGAUACGCCAUUUGCUGUGUGGCAGCCCAGCGACCCGAGAGUGUGUGUGCGCUACUACACGCCCUUUCAUUUCUGGUCUCAAAUCAGGUAGGAUCACCCGCUGAACUUAAGCAUAUCAAUAAGCGGAGGAA